GGGGCUGGAGAAUGGGCCGGGACAGGGACAGAGGUGUCCACUGGGAGGAGGGAGCAGGCCGGACGUCUGCCCCGUCCCCGGUGGGUGCGGGGGCGUCAGGUGGGCAAAACCCCAGCGAGGGGAAGCUCCAGGUAAGAGGGCGACCGCGCCCAGGAGGGAAGCCCUUACUGCACCGCCCCGGCCUCGCCCCCGGUCCCCGCGGCUGCGCUCCCUACGCCGCCGGGGAGGCGCCGACGCCGGGACCAGGCUGCGGGUUCCGCCUCGGAGUCCUGGCUGCCGGGCACCCCGGCUGGGCCCGCGGGCGCCCGCUCCCCUCGCCGCUGAGGGCUGUCCAGAGAGAGGGCUUGCUCCCCACUCUAGGUCUGAAUCACCACGAACGCGCCUUAAACUCUAUUCCCACCUUUUUGGUUGCUUUUCCUUACGUCCUCUUUAAAUGAGCCUUUGGCUUCUAACAGUCUCCUCCCGAUAGGCGCAAAAGCAGUUUUUUCAGUUCAUUAGGAUAAUGAAUAGCUUACAUUUUUUGAUUGCUAACUAUGCAGAGUAGUUGGCUUUUUUUUUUUUUUUGAGACGGAGUCUCGUUCUGUCACCCAGGCUGGAGUGCAGUGGCGCGAUCUCAGCUCACUGCAACCUCUGCCUCCCGGGUUCAAGCGAUUCUCCUGCCUCAGCCUCCUGAGUAGCCGAGACUACAGGCGCGUGCCACCACACCUGGCUAAAUUUUUGUAUUUUUAGUAGAGACGGGGUUUCACAGUGUUAGCUAGGAUGGUCUCGAUCUCUUGACCUCGUGAUCCGCCCGCCUCGGCCUCCCAAAGUGCUGGGAAUACAGGCGUGAGCCACCGCGCCUGGCCGAGUAGUUGGCUUUUCAUAUCACAUGAUCACAUUUCAUCCAUAUGACAAACUCUAUGAAUUAUUAUCCCUAGUUUACAGAUGAGGAAAGUAGAGCUCCGAGGAAUUAAACCCUUCAACACUAACUUGUACUGCGUCAUACUAAAUGUGCCUCUCUGACCAUCUCUGCCAAGGUUUCUCAGAAGCGCCUUUUAUUUCUGUUGUUUUUGUUUCUCUGCAACUCUAUCAUGUUAUCUUAGCUCAUGAAUUCCUUGACCAUCUCUGGGAGAUACAGAGUUUAUGGAAAUAUUGAGGGAACAAAAGUGAAUUUUCUGGCCGGGCACGGUGGCUCAUGCCUGUAAGUCCAGCACUUUGGGAGGCCGAGGCAGGCAGGUCACUUGAGGUCAGGAGUUCAAGAUAUACUUCAACUCACACAUACAAAAUGGCCCUUGUGGAACAUAUGUGUAGAGAUUUUAGUCUUAGUAGAGCUUUUCAACUUUUUCAUUCAUUCCCCAGAUAUAUUUAGCACAGUAUCCGAGAUGCUUAGGGAAUAUGUUUGUGAGCAAAACUGAUGGCUCUGCCUCAUGGAGAGGGAAUAGGGAAGAUAGGGAAGUGGGAGUGGGAUAGGGAAGAAAAACAACCAACAGGCCUGGCGCAGUGGCUCAAGUCUGUAAUUCUGGCACUUUGGGAGGCGGGCGGAUCACUUGAGGUCAAAAGUUUGAGACCAGCCUGGCUAACACGGUGAAACCCCAUGUCUACCAAAAAAUGUGAAAAUUAGUCGAGCAUGGUGGUGCACACCUGUAAUCCCAACUACUCGGGAGGCUGAGGCAGAAUUACUUGAACCUGGGAGGUGGAGGUUGCAGUGAGCAGAGAUCGUGCCACUGUACUCCAGCCUGAGUGACAGAGACUCUGUCUCAGAAAAAAAAAAAAAAAAAAAAGAGUAAUUCUCUUGUACUUUAAAUUAAUUUUAAGCAUUGGGAUCCAUAUUUAGAUUUGCUGCCCUCUGCUGGAAUUUUUUGGGGAAAAAUUUCCUGGGUAGACAGUUAAACAUUUAACCUUUAUGUUAACAGAUCUUUAUGAGUCUAAAAAUUACAGUGUAAGGAGAGGCAGAAACUGGACUUACUUUUCAGUUGACAGUUUCCAGAAUUCACCAAAAAUAUGCUAAAUUAUUAUUAUUAUUUUGACAUGGAGUCUCGCUCUGUUGCCCAGGCUGGAGUGCAAUGGCAUGAUGUCAGCUCACUGCAACCUCCACCUCCCAGGUUCAAGCAAUUCUCCUGUCUCAGCCUCCCAAGUAGCUGGGGUUACAGGCAUGUGCCACCAUGCCCAGCUAAUUUUUGUAUUUUUAGUAGAGAUGGGGUUUCACCAUGUUGGUCAGACUGGUUUCAAACUCCUGACCUCAGGUGAUCCACCAGGCUCAGCCUCCCAAAAUGCUGCGAUUACAGGCAUGAGCCAGUUUGCCCAGACUAUGCUAAAUUAUUAAUAGGGUGACAGAAGACACGGUUCAGUGAUCAGCCUUUUUUUUUUUUUUUGCUAUAAAACUUUUUUUUUUUUUUUUUUUUUUUACACAGGGUCUCACUCUGUCACCCUGGAUGGAGUGCAGUGGUGCAGCCUCGACUUUUUGGGCUCAAGCAAUCCUCUUGCCUCAGCCUCCCAAGUACCUGGGACUACAGGUGUGUGCUACCAUGCCUGGCUAAUCUUUUUUUUUUUUUUGUAAAGAUGAAGUCCCACUAUAUUUCCCAGGCUGGUUUUGAACUCCUAGGCUCAAGCAAUCCUCCUGCCUUGGCCUCCCAAAGUGCUGGAAUCACAGGUGUGAGCCACCACGCCUGGCUAAUAUAUAACUUUGGAUGGACAUUUCCCCUCCUCAGGGUCCAGGUUUUGAAUGUGCAAUAUGAGGAGAUUGGACAGGAUCCUCUGUAAGGCCCUUACAGCCCUAACAUUCUGUGAUGUGUGACUCAAAGUUUGUGGGGUUCAUGUGAGCUCUACAAAUAUGAGCAAAGGAGAAAACAUGCUUCCUCAGUCAACAUCUUGACUGAAGAAUCACCAGAACAUUAGAUAAAUAAUUACAGAUGGGGCUUUCGUUGUAAUCUUACAAUGCUUUAGGGAAAUAAGCGUUGCAUACCUACUGCAGCUUUCUUGGGCUUUAAAUGACCAUAUAGCAUGUUCACAAAACAUCACAAAACAUUAGUAAAGAGAAAAGAAUUCAGAUAAAACUGAACCUUAUUUUUUUUCAGCCUAACUCCUGUUUUCUUUGCUGAGAUACUAGUAAUGCUGAAGUAUUUGUUUGUGUUCAGUUACAAAUUACAUGAUACAAUUAAUGAUGUAGGAAUAUUUUGUGCUUAUGUAGAAAUUUAUAACAAAAUGUUUUCUACUGCAAUAGUGCCUUGGUAGAGUUUUUAUAAAUGAGUUUUUACAAAGGUAUUUAUUAUGGAACUGUGGAAAAUAAAGUCCUGAGACUUGAAAUAAUUUACCCCAAACCACAAGAGAUAGGAGUCAGAUUAAAUACCUACAAUGACAGUUGUCUCUUUUAUUCUAGGUUCUUCCUCAGCCUGUUAUUGGCUCUAGUUAACAGGGAAAGGGAAGUCCUAGAAAAGUCAUUUAUUGAAUUUGUAGUCCUAUGGUAAGGUUACUAAUGUAACAAGAAAAAAAAUUUACCCUACUUUUAACAACCCCAAAGGACAGCUAGGACUCUGCAGUUGAACAACCUUCUUUACAAUAAGCAUUUUUUUUUUUUUGAGACGGUGUCUCGCUGUGUUGCCCAGGCUGGAGUGCAAUGGCGCUAUCUUGGCUCAGCGCCACUGAGCCCCAGGCUGGUCUCAAACUCCUGACCUCAGGUGAUCUGCCUGCCUCGGCCUCCCAAAGAGCUGGGAUUACAGGCAUGAGCCCCUGCGCCCAGCCUACAAUAAGCAUUUUUUAAGAUUUAUGCAUUUCAGCCAGGUGAGGUGGCUCAUUUCUGUAAUCUCAACACUUUGGGAGGCCAGGGUGGGCAGAUUGCUUAAGUCCAGGAGUUCGAGACCAGCCUGGGGCAACAUGGCGAAACCCUGUCUCUAUGAAAAUUAAAAAAAAAAUUAGCUGGACAUGGUGGUGUGUGCCUGUCGGCCAGCUACUCGGAAGGCUUUAGUGGGAGGAUCACUUGAGCCUGGGAGGCUGAGGCUGCAGUACGCCAAGAUCAUGCAACUGCACUCCAGCCUGGGGGGAAAACAGACCCUGUUCCACCCAAAAGAAAUAAAAUUAUGUAUUUCAAGGCAGUUUGUUUUUUCUCCUUUUUUAUGCCUUGUAUGUACAGAAUAGCAGGACAUUACUUUCUAGGUAACAUGUUAUUUUAUUUUAUGGGAAAAACAGUCCUUGGAUCCUUUAACUUUUAUUUAUUUCUCUUUUAUCCCACAAAUGUUUGCAGUCUUUAAAAGUUCCUACAAAUUCUUUAGAAGUUCUCUUCCUCCCUGAUUUGAGCUGUGUUUUGGACGACUUCCCCUUUGGCAGGGCUUAGUAUGUGAAAUGCUAGCUCCAUUCUGGGAGAUUACCAUAGAAGAUUGACUUUCAUCUCUGAAAUUACACAUUUUCUUUCCACUGAGAUUUGGCUUGUUCUGAUCUGCUUUAUAUUUCCUAAAAAUACAGUGCUGUGGCAUCACUUCCUCGGUGACUAACUGAAACAACUGAACCGGUUCCUUUGACCUGUAUUCCCACCCUGUAUCCCUACACCCAAGACUUCUUACUCAAGCUCUUGCUAAUCUUUUCUGGAAUUAACUACCAUUCCCUUGCCCCCUUCCCCCAUUCCUUUAGGAUACACAGAUAAAAUUCUCUUGGAGGAAAAGUAAAAGGAACUACUCAUAUUCUUCAAUUGUCUACAGUAUUACUCUAAUAAAAGGACUAUAUCAUAGAGCCUGGAAAACUUUUCUAUUUAUAGUAACAUUUAUUUAAUAAAUUUAUUCAUGUACUGAAAAAGCACUCAGGCAGCCCAAAGUAGAAGGCCCCUGAAGGUUUUCUUUCCCUGCGACUAACUUCUUGCAACCAAGCAAAACAAUGGGGAAUUUGCUUAGGGACUGUGAAUCUCAGGAUAAUCUUUUCCUUUUUACUUUUCUGCAUCUCCACCUGCCUCCUCCUGCUCCCAGGACACACAGCCAGCCAUUAUCAAGUACACUAAGUAAUGUUUUUUCGUACAUAAUUAAAGCAUGGAAUCUGAAUACUAGAGAGAAUAUCAGUGCAUAAAUUAUAGUUAGGAAACUUAGAGGUGAAACCGGUCUCUUCUUACUCAUGUACAGCCAUGUGUCACUUAACAACCAAGAUCUGUUCUAAGAAAUGCAUCCUAGGCAAUUUCUUCAUUGUGGGAACAUCACAGAGUGUACAUAUGCAAACCUAGCUUAUUGCUCCAAAGCUAGAAACUUGUGCAGCCUGUUACUGUACUGAAUACUUAGGCGAUUGUAACUAGAUGGUAUUUGUAUCUAGGUUGGGCGUGGUGGCUCAUGCCUAUAAUCCCAGCAUUUUGGGAGGUUGAGGCAGGCAGAUCACUUGAGGUCAGGCGUUUGAGACCAGCCUGGCCUACAUGGUGAAAACCCAACUCUAUUAAAAAUACAAAAAUUAGCCAGGCAUGGUAGUGUGUGCCAGCUACACAGGAGGCUGAGGCUCAAGAAUCGCUUGAACCCGGGAGGCAGAGGUUGCAGUGAGCCGAGAUCGCACACUGCAUUCCAGCCUGGGCGACACAGUGAGACUCCGUCUCAAAAAAAAAAAAGAAAGUAUUUGUAUCUAAACAUAGAAAACUUAUGGUAAAAAUAUGGUAUAAAAGAUAAAAGAUGGCACACCUAUAUAGGGCACUUACCAUGAAUGGAACUUGCAGGACUGGAAGUUGCUUAGUGAGUCAGUGGUAAGUGAAUGUGAAGGCCUAGGACAUUUAAAAAAAUUUUUCAUUUUUGGCCGGGUGCGGUGGCUCACACCUGUAAUCCCAGCACUUUGGGAGGCCGAGGCAGGUGGAUCACCUGAGGUCAGGAGUUCGAGACUAGCCUGACCAACACGGAGAAACCCCGUCUCUACUAAAAAUACAAAAAAGUUAGCCAGGCGUGGUGGCACAUGCCUGUAAUCCCAGCUACUCGGGAGGCUGAGGCAAGAAAAUUGUUUGAACCUGGAAGGUGGAGGUUGCAGUGAGCCGAGAGUGUGCCAUUGCACUCCAGCCUGGGCACCAAGAGCAAAACUCCGUCUCAAAAAAAAAAAAAUUUCAUUUUUGAAUUAUUUAUUUAUUUACUUAUAGCCGGGCAUGAUAGCUCAUGCCUGUAAUCCUAGCACUUUGGGAGGCCAAGGCGGGCUGAUCACCUGAGGUCAGGGGUUCGAGAGCAGCCUGACCAACAUGGCGAAACCCCAUCUCUACUAAAAACACAAAAAUUAGCCAGGCGUUGUGAUGCACACCUGUAAUCCCAGCUACUUGGGAGGCUGAAGCAGGAGAAUCGCUUGAAAUAGGGAGGUGGAGGUUGCAGUGAGCCCAGAUCACACCAGUUCACUCCAGCCUGGGCAAUAGAGCGAGACUGUCUCAAAAAGAAAAACAAAAAACAAAACAUAAAUAAUUUUUAUAAAAACAAGGUCUCACUCUGUUGCCCAGGCUGCUCACAAACUCCUGGGCUCAAGUGAUGCUCCCUCCUGGGCCUCCCAAAGUGCUGGGAUUACAGGUGGGAGCCACUGCACCCAGCUGACCUAGGACAUUAUUGUAUACUACUGUAGACUUUAUAAACACUGACACUUAGGCUACAUUAAACUUGAAAACAUGUUUCCUUCUUCAAUGAUAAAUUAACUUUAGCUUACUGUAGCUUUAAAAAUUUGUAAGGCCAGGUGCUGUGGCUCAUGCCUGUAAUCCUAGCACUUUGGGAGGCUGAGGUGGGCGGAUCACUUGAGGUCAGGAGUUCACAAUCAGCCUGGCCAACAUGGUGAGACCUCACCUCUACUAAACAUAGAAAAAAUUAGCCGGAUGUGGUGGCACAUACCUGUAAUCUCAGCUACUUGGGAGGCUGAGGCAGGAGGAUCACUGGAACCCGGAAGGCGGAGGCUGCAGUGAGCCAAGAUUGUACCACUGCACUCCAGCCUGGGCAGUAGAGUGAGACUCUGCUCAAAAAAAAAAAAAAAUUGUAAACUUUUUUUUUUUAAACUUUUUGUCUCUUGUAAUAACACAGCUUAAAACACAUUGUACAGCUGUACAACAUUUUUUUUGAAACAGGGUCUCCCUCUGUCACCCAGGCUGGGGUGCGCUGGCAUGAUCACGACUCACUGCAGCCUCAACUUCCUGGGCUCAAGCAAUCCUCUCGCCUUAGCUUCCUGAAUAGCUGAGGUUACCGUGUGCGCCACCAUGCUUGGCUAAUUUUUUGUAUUUUUUGUAGCGAGAGGGUCUUGCUGUUGUCCAGACUGUCUCAAACUCCUGGCCUCAAGUAAUCCUCCCACCUUGGCCUCCCAAAGUGCUGGAAUUACAAGCUUGAGCCACCUCGCCUGGCCUGCAAACGUAAAAUUAAAAAAAAAAUAAAUGCCUCUUCCUGCCCCCAUUCCUCAGCCCCUCCACUGCUAGUACCAGUAUCUGCAUGCUAGGUGUUCAUCCCUGGACUGAGGAUUUUAAAUGCUUUAACUUAUUUAUUCUUCACGAUAAUCCUAUGAGGUAGACACUAUUGUUACCUCCAUUUUACAGGAGAGGAAAUGGAGGCUGCCUGGCUUUGGGAACUGCCCUGAGGUCACACAGCAGCGCAUGUUGCCUUCAGUCCAGCCUUCUUUGGAAUCCCAACCCUUCCCUCAGGAGGUUGGCUUUAAGGCCUUCAUUUCUAAACCACUGUCUUCUUUUUUUUUUUUUUUUUGAGAUGGAGUGGCUUGAUCUGGACUCACUGCAACCUCUGCCCCCUGGGUUCAAGUGAUUCUCUUGCCGCAGACUCCCAAGUAGCUGGGAUUAUAGGCGCCCACCACCAUGCCGAGCUAAUUUUUGUAUUUUUAGUAGAGACGGGGUUUCAUCAUGUUGGCCAGGCUGGUCUCAAACUCCUGAUCUCAGGUAAUCCACCCGCCUCAGCCUCCCAAAGUGUUAGGAUUACAGGCGUGAACCACCGCUCCUGGCCUAAAUUACUGUCUUCUCUCCAAGAACAUUAAUAUAGAACCACUUUUAUAUCUACAACUUUAAUUACAUGUUUAUUUCCCCAAAUCAUCAAAAUCUGCAAUGUCCCCAAACCCCUCAGGAGAUUCAGUGAAGGAAGGAGGCUGGAACAGGGUUCUAACAGAUGAGGGUCUGCACUUGCAGGCCUCUGUUUUUACAACACUUUGCUGUUUUUGAUCCUCUAGUCCAUAUACCUUUUUCCUUACCCUCCAGCAUAUUUUGUUCCAAUGGAGUCAGGAAUAUAAGCCCUUUAGAACCCCUGAAAGUUCUUUGUGUGUUUCUGAUAGAUAAAGAUUUCCUCAUUUUAAAGUACAUAGUUCUCUGUUUUGGUCAGUUUCAGUCCCCACUGACCUUGUAAAUGGGUGAUACGGAACAGCCUGUAACUACAAAAUCGACUUCUUAUCCAGUUCCCUCAGCUGCUCCAUUUAUAUGUACGGAACCCAAGGGACAGAGCUGGGUUCACACACUGUGGAAAAGAAAAAGAAGAAAUAAUUUUUGUUCAAAACAAAGAAACAAAUUUUAAAUUCACGCUGUUCUUUCUCUUUACUCUGCACGAAAUGACUGAUAAUAAACCAAAGUUGUUUCAGAGGAAAAAAAAAUUAUCCUGGAACAGAGAUCACCUGACAAGCUACACAGCCUGUUUCGCUGAUGCUCACUUGCUCAGUUGCAUUGGGGGUUUCAUGGCCUUUGGUCAAGGCCAGGAGGGCCUAACCCCAAGCACACUAGUUUCUUUUAGUGUUGUUCGUUUGUUUGUUUUUGAGACAGGGUUUCACUCUCUCACCCAGGCUGGAGUGCAGUGGCACCACUGUAGCUCACUGCAGCCUCAACGUCCCAGGCUCAGGUGAUCCUCCCACCUGGGCCUCCCAAGUAGCUGGGACUACAGGCACGUGCCACCACACCCACUGGCCUCAGCCUCCCCAAAUGCUGGGAAUACAGAUGUCAGCCACCACGCCCUAGCCUCAAGCACAUUGCUAUGGAAGCCUAAAAAGAUAAAUCUGGCUGGGCGUGGUGGCUCACGCCUGUAAUCCCAGCACUUUGGGAGACUGAGGCCGGCGGAUCACGUGAUGUCAGGAGUUCCAGACCAGCCUGGCCAACAUGGUGAAACCCUGUCUCUAAUAAAAAUAUAAAAAUUAGCCAGGCGUGGUGGCAGACGCCUGUAAUCCCAGCUACUCCAGAGGCUGAGUCACAAGAAUGGAGAAUCGCUUGAACCUGGGAGGUGGAGGUUGCAGUGAGCUGAGAUUGCGCCACUGCACUCCAGCAUGGGUGAUAGAAUGAGACUCAGUCUCGAAAAACAAAAAGAAAAGACGAAUCUACCAGGUAGAGUGGUUCAUGACUGUAAUUCCAGCACUUUGGAAGACCAAGUGGGUGGAUCACAUGAGUCCAGAGGUUUGAGACCAGCCUGAGCAACAUAGCAAGACCUCUAUCAGAGAAAUAUAUAUAUAUAUAUAUAUAUAUAUUUUUUAAAGAUAAGUUCAGCUGCUGGGGAAAGUGGUAGUUGGUUUCUUAGCAAGCAACAGAAUCAUUUUGACCUUUAAAGACAAGGACAAGAUAAAAUACAAAGGGAAAAGCACUGCAGAGUAAGGAAAGUAAAGAUUAGAAUAACAAAAUACUGAAUUAGACUAUUCACUGUAAACUCUCAGAGCCAUUAUAAUUACUAGGAAUUCUGGCUUAUAGUGUGAUUAAAUAGAGUAACCUUGGCAAGGUCCGUAGUUGUAUUUUGGGUGAGUUUCUCCAUCUGCAUUUGGUGUGAGGAUAAGACUUGCUCUAAAACAGCCUGAGGUCAGGUGCAGUGGCUCAAGCCUGUAAUCCCAGCAAUUUGGGAGGCUGAAGUGGUAGGAUCACUUGAGCUCAGGAGUUUGAGACCACCCUGGGCAACACAGAGGGACCCCGUUUCUACUUAAAAAAUAAAAAAAAAAUAUAUGUGUUUUGCCUCUGCACCAAGUUCCUGACACAGAGCUCCUAAAUCCUUGGAACUUCCUGGGUGAUGGGAGCAUCUUUUGUACUAAUGAGGGUCUCUUGGUGUCUUGCUGGAUAGCUUCAGGAUAGGGUCUGGUCACCAGAAAGACAAAGUCAUGACUAGAAGCUUGAAAAUUUAGCCACAUCCCCCAUCCUCCAGGGAGGGGAGAAGGACUAGGGAUUGAGUUAAAAACUGAUCAUGCCUACGUGAUGAAGCCUCCAUAAAAAUCCCUAAACUACCGGGUUCCCAGAGUUCCAAACUGGUAAACAAGAACAUAUCCACUUGCAGGAGGGUUGUGCACCCCAGCUCCACUACACUCAAAGGACAGAAGCUGCUGCACUCAGGAGCCUUCCAUACCUCACCCUAUAUAUAUCCUCAUUUGACAAUUCAUUUCCCGUUUUUUUUUUUUUUUUUUUUUUUUGUUUAGAUGGAGCCUCGCUCUGUUGCCCAGGCUGGAGUGCAGUGGCAUGAUCUCGGUUCAAUGAUGCAGCUUCCACUUCCCAAGUUCAAGUGAUUCUCUGCCUCAGCCUCCUGAGUAGCUGGGAUUACAGGCGUGCACCACGACACUCGGCUAAUUUUUUCUUUUCUCUUCUUGAGAUGGAGUUUCACUCUUGUUGCCCAGGCUAGAGUGCAAUGGCAUGAUCUUGGCUCACCGCAACCUCCAGCUCCCGGGUUCAAGCGAUUCUCCUGCCUCAGCCUCCCGAGUAGCUGGGAUUACAGGCAUGCGCCACCACGCCCGGCUAAUUUGGUAUUUUUAGUAGAGACGGGGUUUCUCCGUGUUGGUCAGGCUGGUCUCGAAAUCCCGACCUCAGGUGAUCCGCCUGCCUCGGCCUCCCAAACUGCUGGGAUUACAGGCGUAAGUCACCGCACCCGGCUCCCCUUCCUGCUUUUAUCCUGUCUUCUAUCUCUGUAGGGCUCCCCGUCCCUGAUUUUAUUAAUACUAGUCCUAUCCACCUGUGCCCCAGUUCUGUAUUCCUGCUCACAGUCUCUGGGAUCUUGCUUCAUAAUUUAACCCUUUUUCUUGACCCUUCACUUUCUUUUGUUUAGACAAAUUGGGACUGAACUCUAGUUUCAGUACCAGUUUGAGUUACAGGCCCAGCCUAUAAUCUCUCUUAUAUGUUGCUGAAUUUGGUUUGCAGACGACUUUUGUAUCAAUAUUUAUAAGGAUAUCGAUAUAUACUUUUCUUACAGUGUCUUUACCUGGUUUUAGUAUCAGAGUAAUAUUGAAUUUAUAGAAUAAAUUGGGAAGUGUUCCUCCUCUAAUUUCUGAAAUAAUUUGUUCAAUAUUUGUAUUAUUGGUUCUUUAAAUAUUUAAUGGAAUUUACCAAUGAAGCCAUCUGGGCUGGGCUCUUGUGGGAAGAUUGUUAGAUUGUUUUUGUUUGUUCUUGAGACAGGGUCUCACUCUGUUGCCCCAGGCUGGAGUGCAGUGGUACAAUCUCAGCUCACUGACACCUCCACCUCCCUGGUUCAAGUUAUUGUCCCACCUCAGCCUCCCAAGUAGCUGGGUCUAUAGGUAUGUGCCACCCCACCUGGGUAAUUUUUGUACAUUUUGGUUGAGACGGGUUUCACCAUAAUGCCCAGGCUGGUCUUGAACUCCCGACCUCAAGUGAUGUACCUGCCUUGGCCUCCCAAAGUGCUGGGAUUACAGGUGUGAGCCACCAUGCCCAGCUGGAAGAUUGUUUUUUAAAUUCAUUUUUUUUAACCACUUGAUAUAGGUAUGUUUGGAUAUCCUAUUUCUUCUUGAGUUGGUCUUGAUACUUUAUGCCUUUCUAGGAAUUUUUCAUUUCAUUAAAUUGCCUAAUGUACUGGUAUAAAGUUGUUCACAUUAUACUUUUUGUGUGUGUAUGGUAGAGAUGGGGUUUCACUGUUACCCAGGCUGUUCUGGAACUCCUGGGCUCAAGUAAUCUGCCCACCUCAGCCUCCCAAAGUGUUGGGAUCAUAGUCAUGAGCCACCAUGCCUGGCCCCAUAAUAUACUUUUAUAAUUUUAAUUUUUGUAGGGCAGAGAUUGAUGUCCUCUCUUUCAUUCUAGAUACUGGUAAUUUGUGUCUUCUCUUUUUUUUUUUUUUUUUUGAGACGGAGUCUCACUCUGUCACCCAGGCUAGAGUGCAGUGGCGCGAUCUCGGCUCACUGCAAGCUCCGCCUCCCAGGUUCACGCUAUUCUCCUGACUCAGCCUCCCAAGUAGCUGGGACUACAGGUGCCCGCCACCAUGCCCGACUAAUUUUUUGUAUUUUUAGUAGAGACGGGGUUUCAUCGUGUUAGCCAGGAUGGUCUCGAUUUCCUGACCUCGUGAUCCGCCUGCCUGGGCCUCCCAAAGUGCUGGGAUUACAGGCGCAAGCCACCACGCCCAGCCAGUGUCUUCUCUUUUUUAAAACAAAUUUAUUAUUAUUAUUUUUUGAGAUGGAGUCUCACUCUGUCGCCCAGGUUGCAGUGCAGUGGCACGAUCUCAGCUCACUGCAACCUUCCACCUCCCAGGUUCAAGCGAUUCUCCUGCCUCAGCCUCCUGAGUAACUGGGAUUACAGGCACCCGCCACCACACCUGGCUAAUUUUUGUAUUUUUAGUAGAGAUGGGGUUUCACCACGUUGGGCCAGGCUGGUCUCAAACUCCUGACCUCAAGUGAUCCACCUGCCUCGGCCUCCCAAAGUGUUGGAAUUACAGGCAUAAGCCACCAUGUCUGGCCUUUUUAAAAAUUUUUUUCGCUUGGCUAAUCUUAUUAUUAUUAUUAUUAUUGGAGACAAUGUUUUGCUCUAUUGCCUGCUUGAGUGCAGUGGCGUGACCUCAGCUCACUGCAGCCUCAACCUCUCAGGCUCAAGCAAUUCUAUCUCAUGAGCAUCCCCACCCGAGUAACUGGGACUACAGGCACGUGCCACCAUGACUGGCUAAUUUUUGUAUUUAUUUGGAAGAGACGGUGUUCACCAUGUUACCUAGGCUGGUCUCCAACUCCUGGGCUCAAGUGAUCCACCUGCCUCUGCUUCCCAAAGUGCUAGGAUUAUAGGUGUGAGCCACCACGACCAGUCAUUGUUAUUUUUUCAAAGAAACAACUUUUUGUUCGUUGAUUUUCUAUAUUGCUGUUUUCUGUUUCAUUGAUUUCUGCUCUAAUCUUUAUUUCCUCUUUUUUGCUUACCUUGGGUUUAGUUUGAUCUUUUGUUUAUUUAUUUAUUUAUUUAGAGACGGAGUUUCACUCUUGUCGACCAGGCUGGAGUGCAGUGGCGCCAUCUCAGCUCACCACAACCUCCGCCUCCCGGGUUCAAGUGAUUCUCCUGCCUCCACCUCCCGAGUACCUGGGAUUACAGGCAUGCGCCACCACACCCGGCUAAUUUUGUAUUUUUAGUGGAGACGGGGUUUGUCUAUGUUGGUCAGGCUGGUCUCAAACUCCCGACCUCAGGGGAUCAGCCCGACUCGGCCUCCCAAAGUGCUGGGAUUACAGGCAUGAGCCACCGCGCCCGGCCUUCUUUUUAUUUUCUUAAGAUAGAAGCUUAAUUUGAUUUGAGACCUUUCUUUUCUUCUUAUAUAUAUGUUUUCCUCUAAGCACUUCUAGCUGCUUCCCAUAAAUUUUGAUAUGUUGUAUUUUCAUUUUUACUCAGUUCAAAAUAUUUUAAGAUUUCCCUUGUGAAGUGGCUUUUGACCUAUGUGCUAUUUAGAAGUCUGUUUUAUUUCCAAAUACAUAGGGAUUUCCCAGAUCUCUUUCUGUUGUUGAUUUCUAAC
This 13583-nucleotide long non-coding RNA is filed under the name Homo sapiens (human). RNAcentral's name for it is "non-protein coding lnc-TUBA1A-1:5". The stretch from base 5727 to 5843 matches the Rfam family "Metazoan signal recognition particle RNA". The record is from RNAcentral. Lineage: Eukaryota; Metazoa; Chordata; Mammalia; Primates; Hominidae.